RNAcentral lists this long non-coding RNA (1454 nucleotides) under Carassius auratus (goldfish). RNAcentral's name for it is "lncRNA (ENSCARG00000014085.1)". The record is from RNAcentral. Lineage: Eukaryota; Metazoa; Chordata; Actinopteri; Cypriniformes; Cyprinidae.
CUCAUUUACAAUACAUAAUGCUUUAAAGAAAUCACAAGAUUAUUUUCUUUAUGUCUUUUAGGUGCAAAGAAUAUCAGAUGAUGUGGAGAAAUGUUCGAUGCUUCAAGACUCUGAAGCUGAUUUUAUUAGGUAAUAUAUUAAUUAUUUAAAUAAUUUGAUAAACUUGUAAUUUAGAUUACAUACUGCAUUGUAGGUUACAUUAUUGCUUAUAUUUAUUAAUUUAAGGUCCACCCAGUGGCUUUUGACUAUUUGAGGGUCAGAUGGUUGUGAAUUCAUACCUCAACAUUGUGCGUCCCGGGAGCAGGCAUCUUUUGCACACAUUAAUUUUUUCAAAGAUGUUUUCUUGGAAUCACAACACUCACUGGAUACAAGACGGACACAUAGAGGCAAAACAAGUGGAAAAGUCUCAGAAGAGGGACAACCCUCAUGCGUGUGCUCAUCUCAGAAAGUUGAUGGACUUUCAGUAUGUAUUUAUUAAAUUGUCUUUUGCAGGAAUAUUCUUAAUUUAAUAGAACAUAAGCUCAAACAACAGAAUUUGUGAUUUAAUGUUGAUUCCAGCAUUUUAUUUGAAUCCUUUUCUUUAAAACAUUUUUAUUUUUAUUUUCAAAUGUUUAAAAAAAUUAUACAAAUUCUGUUGAUUGACCUUCAUUUUUAUAGAAAGUUAAACAAAAAAAGAAAGUUUUUUUAAACAGUUAUUUGUGAUGCUAUGCUAUUUUUAUGAUUAGAUUUAACUGUUGAAAGACUGAAAAUUUUAUUUUACCAGUAAAAGCCUUGCAAUGUCUUUCUGCCAGUUUUAAUAAAUACUUAUUUGCAACAUCAUUGACUUGGUUUUCAUUCAUUUGUAAAUGUAUUAAGAUAGAGCUCAUGAUAAUGCAUUUAUAUCAGUAUUUUAUAGUUUACUGUUAAAAUUAUUCUUUAAAGCAGUUUCAUUGUUAAAUUAUUACAACAUCAUAUUGUAUUUAGGGGUAUUUACAUGAUUUUAUUGGCAACUUUUGUUGCCAGCUAAAUACUGUAAUUUAAUGAAAUUACAAAAAAAUGCUGUAAAAUAUAUUUACAGGAUUUUAUUGGCAACUUUUUUGCCAGGUAAAUACUGUACUUUAGUGAAUUUACAAAAUAUUGCUGUAAAAUAAACUACUUGUAAAAUUCAAUGUUACUGUAAAAAAUACUACAAACUACUGUAUUUCACAUACAGCAAUUAACUGUUAUUUGCUUUGCAGUAAUAUCCUGUAAUCCAUUUUACAGCAAUUAACAUCAUUUUUACAGGAUUUUAUUGGCAACUUUUUUGCCAGUAAAAUCCUGUAAAUUCUACAGUACAUUUUUUACAGUGUAAAUAUGUUCGCGUGAAUCAUUCUUCAUCCAGCUUCACCUAUAGAAAAAGUGAGUAUAAGGUUUUUUUAAUAAAUCUUUGCAAAUCACCUUUUUUAAUAAUGUUUCACAAGUAAACUCUGAGAGCG